AAUGCCGUCGCUCAACGGAUAAAAGCUACCCUGGGGAUAACAGGCUGAUCUCCCCCAAGAGUCCACAUCGACGGGGAGGUUUGGCACCUCGAUGUCGGCUCAUCACAUCCUGGGGCUGAAUUCGGUCCCAAGGGUUCGGCUAUUCGCCGAUUAAAGUGGUACGCGAGCUGGGUUCAGAACGUCGUGAGACAGUUCGGUCCCUAUCUGCUGUGGGCGUAGGAUAUUUGAGGAGCGCUGUUCCUAGUACGAGAGGACCGGAAUGGACGCACCGCUGGUGUAUCGGUUGUCAUGCCAAUGGCACGGCCGAGCAGCUAUGUGCGGAAGAGAUAAACGCUGAAAGCAUCUAAGCGUGAAGCCCCCUCCAAGAUAAGAUAUCCCACUUUUUAAAGUUAAGACCCCUUGUAGACUACGAGGUUGAUAGGUUGCAUGUGUAAGUGCAGUGAUGUAUUUAGCUAGGCAAUACUAAUAGGUCGAGGGCUUAACCUUUCA
This 489-nucleotide ribosomal RNA is filed under the name Oscillospiraceae bacterium. RNAcentral's name for it is "partial 23S ribosomal RNA". It matches the Rfam family "Bacterial large subunit ribosomal RNA", at positions 2438 to 2925 of the family's 2925-position model. Lineage: Bacteria; Bacillati; Bacillota; Clostridia; Eubacteriales; Oscillospiraceae. The record is from RNAcentral.